GUAGGGAAUAUUGGGCAAUGGAUGCAAGUCUGACCCAGCCAUCCCGCGUGCCGGAAGAAGGCCCUCAGGGUUGUAAACGGCUUUUGACGGUGAAGAAUCGACAGGAUGCGUUCUGUUUUGACGGUAGCCGUUGAAUAAGCACCGGCUAACUCCGUGCCAGCAGCCGCGGUAAUACGGAGGGUGCGAGCGUUGUCCGGAUUUAUUGGGUUUAAAGGGUGCGUAGGCUGGAAGGUCAGUCAGCGGUGAAAAGCUAUCGCUUAACGAUAGUCUUGCCGCAGAUACUUCCUUUCUUGGAUGAGGAGGAGGCCACUGGAACGGAUGGUGUAGCGGUGAAAUGCAUAGAUAUCAUCCAGAACACCGAUUGCGAAGGCAGGUGGCUGUACCUUAAUCGACGCUGAUGCACGAAAGCAUGGGGAGCAAACAGGAUUAGAUACCCGGGUAGUCC
Molecule: ribosomal RNA, 445 nt
Filed under: uncultured bacterium
Lineage: Bacteria
Description: partial 16S ribosomal RNA
Rfam family: Bacterial small subunit ribosomal RNA
Source: RNAcentral